GUUAAAACACCGGCUCUCCUAUGAUCACCAAAGUUAAGCAAUAUCGAGCCUGGUCAGUACUUAGAUGGGUGGCCACUUGGUAAAACCAGGCGUUGUA
Acanthosepion pharaonis is the source of this 97-nucleotide non-coding RNA. Lineage: Eukaryota; Metazoa; Mollusca; Cephalopoda; Sepiida; Sepiidae. The record is from the annotation of a GenBank genome assembly.